This 2392-nucleotide ribosomal RNA is filed under the name Heterolobosea sp. BB2. RNAcentral's name for it is "partial 18S ribosomal RNA". It matches the Rfam family "Eukaryotic small subunit ribosomal RNA". The record is from RNAcentral. Lineage: Eukaryota; Heterolobosea.
CUGGUUGAUCCUGCCAGUAGUCAUAUGCUUGUCUCGAAGAUUAAGCCAUGCACGUCCAAGUUCAACGAACGGGCCGGGGUGCACGUGCCGGCGGGCAACCGCCGCGUGCGUUCGGCUCUGGCCCUCCCAAUGCGAAACUGCGGAUGGCUCAGUAAAACAGUGUGAAUCCCCAGGGCGGUUUCCGCGGUGGUCCGUUUGUGUUGUUUGGACGGGCGACCGUUCCCAAAAGGAUAACUGUGGAAACUCCAGAGCUAAUACUUGAAUCGUCCGCGGACGGGGCAACCCGUCCGCGGGGGGUUUAUCAGUAGCGGCCGGCGGGGCCUAGCCCCGUCGGCUCUGGUGAAUCAUGGUAAAUCCAGAUCGAAGAGCCUGAGAUACGGCGUCGACUCGCCCCUCGAGUCUCUGACCUAUCAGCUUUCGACGCUACUGUAAGGUACUAGCAGGGCGAUUACGGGUGACGGGGAAUUAGUGUUCGAUUCCGGAGAGGGAGCCUGAGAGAUGGCUACCACGUCCAUGGACGGCAGCAGGCGCGCAAAUUACCCAAUCCUAACGCAAGGGAGGUAGUGAAGAGACAUACCGACCCGGCGCCACGUGCGUCGGGAUUCGGAAUGGUGACAAUUUAAAUCGCUUACAGAGUAUCGAUUGGAGGGCAAGUCUGGUGCCAGCAGCCGCGGUAAUUCCAGCUCCAAUAGCAUAUAUUAAAGUUGUUGCAGUUAAAAAGCUCGUAGUUGGCUCUCGAGGCGGCUCGGUGGUCACGUCUCCGGAACCGUUCGGAGGCGGCGGCGGCGGCGGCGGCGGCAACGCUGCUAUGCUGCCCCGCGGAUGGCGGUGAGGGGGGCCUCGGCGCGGCCCGCUCGGCUUCGGCCGGGCGGUGCUGCGUGUGGCUGCUCAAGGGGUCCCGCGGCGCGGCUCUCACCUAGAGCCGGGCUGCGGGUAACCCCGGGGCCGCUUCGCUCGUGGGUCGUCGGUCGCGGCCGAAACCGGGCCGCGGCGGCGGGGCAACCCGCCGUCGCGCGCAACGGGCGGCCGCACCAAGGCUGGCGGCCCGAUGGAACCGUGAGUAAAUCACAGUGUCCAAAGCAGGCGUCUCGCCCCGUGUGUGAUCUAGCAUGGUACUCCAGCGUUAGUUUUCCGCCGGCCGUGCCCGCGCGCUCCUAAGGGGCUCGCGUGCCUGCGGUACCGGCGCGGAAACGUGGUUAAUGGGGGUCUGAUCGAGGGCGUAAGUAUUGUGCCGGGAGAGGUGAAAUUCAUAGAUCGGCGCAGGACUAACAGCAGCGAAAGCGCACGCCCAGCGCGCCUCCAUCAAUCAGGAACGAAAGUUUGGGGAUCGAAGACGAUCAGAUACCGUCGUAGUCCAAACCGUAAACGAUACCGACCCGGGAUUGGGACGCGAACCAUAACCAAGACCCUCUCAGAACCGUCAAGGGAAACCACAAGUCUCUGGGUUCUGGGGGGAGUAUGGUCGCAAGGCUGAAACUUAAAGGAAUUGACGGAAGGGCACACCAGGAGUGGAACCUGCGGCUUAAUUUGACUCAACACGGGAAAACUCACCAGGUCCGGACAUAUUGAGGAUUGACAGGUUGAUAGCCCUUUCUUGAUUGUAUGAGUGGUGGUGCAUGGCCGUUCUUAGUUGGUGGAGUGAUUUGUCUGGUUAAUUCCGUUAACGAACGAGACCUUUACCUGCUAAAUAGCCCUGCGUCCUUGGCACGGGGCUCCGCCGUCGGCGCGGCAGGUCCGCACCGCGGGCGCGCGCGGGGGCAACCCCAACCGCGCCCGCGGGGCGGCCGCGCGCGGACGGUCCCUGCCAAACACAGGACGCAUGGACCGAAGGAUUCCUGGCCCGCCGGCCCGCCCCCCUCCGGGGGGGCGGGCGGGCGGACCGUGGGCCGGCGGUAUCGCUUCUUAGAGGGACAUUGUAGCGUUCUUUUGUAACAUAGCGCACGGAAGUUAAAGGCAAUAACAGGUCUGUGAUGCCCUUAGAUGUUCUGGGCCGCACGCGCGUUACAAUGCAGAGAGCAGCGAGCGUACAGGGGCGCCCGGCAAUGCGGGCGCGCCGCGGGGUGCUCACCGCACACCGCGGCGCGCUUCCAGCCGGCGCCCAGUGCCUUCGCGGAUGCGUGUGGGGAGUCUUUUUAAACCUCUGCGUGACGGGGACAGUUGAUUGCAAUUAUUCAUCUCGAACGAGGAAUUCCUAGUAAGUAUGAGUCAUUAACUCGUGCUGAUUACGUCCCUGCCCUUUGUACACACCGCCCGUCGCUCCUACCGAUGGGACGAAUGGAUGAGUCAGCCGGAGCCGUGGCGUUCCUCCGUGUUCGCCGUGGCGAAGGUCGACAAAUCCUUUCGUUUGUAGGAAGGAGAAGUCGUAACAAGGUAACCGUAGGUGAACCUGCAG